AAAUUGAAGAGUUUGAUCAUGGCUCAGAUUGAACGCUGGCGGCAGGCCUAACACAUGCAAGUCGAGCGGUAGCACAGAGAGCUUGCUCUCGGGUGACGAGCGGCGGACGGGUGAGUAAUGUCUGGGAAACUGCCUGAUGGAGGGGGAUAACUACUGGAAACGGUAGCUAAUACCGCAUAACGUCGCAAGACCAAAGUGGGGACCUUCGGGCCUCAUGCCAUCAGAUGUGCCCAGAUGGGAUUAGCUAGUAGGUGGGGUAACGGCUCACCUAGGCGACGAUCCCUAGCUGGUCUGAGAGGAUGACCAGCCACACUGGAACUGAGACACGGUCCAGACUCCUACGGGAGGCAGCAGUGGGGAAUAUUGCACAAUGGGCGCAAGCCUGAUGCAGCCAUGCCGCGUGUGUGAAGAAGGCCUUCGGGUUGUAAAGCACUUUCAGCGGGGAGGAAGGCGUUAAGGUUAAUAACCUUGGCGAUUGACGUUACCCGCAGAAGAAGCACCGGCUAACUCCGUGCCAGCAGCCGCGGUAAUACGGAGGGUGCAAGCGUUAAUCGGAAUUACUGGGCGUAAAGCGCACGCAGGCGGUCUGUCAAGUCGGAUGUGAAAUCCCCGGGCUCAACCUGGGAACUGCAUUCGAAACUGGCAGGCUAGAGUCUUGUAGAGGGGGGUAGAAUUCCAGGUGUAGCGGUGAAAUGCGUAGAGAUCUGGAGGAAUACCGGUGGCGAAGGCGGCCCCCUGGACAAAGACUGACGCUCAGGUGCGAAAGCGUGGGGAGCAAACAGGAUUAGAUACCCUGGUAGUCCACGCCGUAAACGAUGUCGAUUUGGAGGUUGUGCCCUUGAGGCGUGGCUUCCGGAGCUAACGCGUUAAAUCGACCGCCUGGGGAGUACGGCCGCAAGGUUAAAACUCAAAUGAAUUGACGGGGGCCCGCACAAGCGGUGGAGCAUGUGGUUUAAUUCGAUGCAACGCGAAGAACCUUACCUGGUCUUGACAUCCACAGAACUUUCCAGAGAUGGAUUGGUGCCUUCGGGAACUGUGAGACAGGUGCUGCAUGGCUGUCGUCAGCUCGUGUUGUGAAAUGUUGGGUUAAGUCCCGCAACGAGCGCAACCCUUAUCCUUUGUUGCCAGCGGUUAGGCCGGGAACUCAAAGGAGACUGCCAGUGAUAAACUGGAGGAAGGUGGGGAUGACGUCAAGUCAUCAUGGCCCUUACGACCAGGGCUACACACGUGCUACAAUGGCAUAUACAAAGAGAAGCGACCUCGCGAGAGCAAGCGGACCUCAUAAAGUAUGUCGUAGUCCGGAUUGGAGUCUGCAACUCGACUCCAUGAAGUCGGAAUCGCUAGUAAUCGUAGAUCAGAAUGCUACGGUGAAUACGUUCCCGGGCCUUGUACACACCGCCCGUCACACCAUGGGAGUGGGUUGCAAAAGAAGUAGGUAGCUUAACCUUCGGGAGGGCGCUUACCACUUUGUGAUUCAUGACUGGGGUGAAGUCGUAACAAGGUAACCGUAGGGGAACCUGCGGUUGGAUCACCUCCUUA
This 1539-nucleotide ribosomal RNA is filed under the name Klebsiella pneumoniae. Its description in RNAcentral is "16S ribosomal RNA". It matches the Rfam family "Bacterial small subunit ribosomal RNA". The record is from RNAcentral. Lineage: Bacteria; Pseudomonadati; Pseudomonadota; Gammaproteobacteria; Enterobacterales; Enterobacteriaceae.